This 119-nucleotide ribosomal RNA is filed under the name Pteropus alecto (black flying fox). The record is from RNAcentral. Lineage: Eukaryota; Metazoa; Chordata; Mammalia; Chiroptera; Pteropodidae.
UUCUACGGCCAUGCCACCCUGUGCAUGCCCAGUCUCGUCUGAUCUUGGAAGCUAAGCAGGAUCGGGCCUGGUUAGCACUUGGAUGGGAGACCACCUGGGAAUACCAGGUGCUGUAGAUG